GGGUGCUUAGCUCAGUUGGUAGAGCAGCUGCCUUACACGCAGCAUGUCAGCGGUUCGAGUCCGUUAGCACCCACCA
This 76-nucleotide transfer RNA is filed under the name Roseateles sp. RNAcentral describes it as "tRNA-Val". It matches the Rfam family "tRNA". Rfam says of the family: Transfer RNA (tRNA) molecules are approximately 80 nucleotides in length. Their secondary structure includes four short double-helical elements and three loops (D, anti-codon, and T loops). Lineage: Bacteria; Pseudomonadati; Pseudomonadota; Betaproteobacteria; Burkholderiales; Sphaerotilaceae. The record is from RNAcentral.